RNAcentral lists this ribosomal RNA (403 nucleotides) under bacterium. RNAcentral's name for it is "partial 16S ribosomal RNA". It matches the Rfam family "Bacterial small subunit ribosomal RNA", at positions 355 to 776 of the family's 1533-position model. The record is from RNAcentral.
UGGGGAAUAUUGCACAAUGGGGGAAACCCUGAUGCAGCGACGCCGCGUGAACGAAGAAGGUAUUCGUAUCGUAAAGUUCUGUCUUAUGGGAAGAUAAUGACAGUACCAUAGAAGAAAGCUCCGGCUAAAUACGUGCCAGCAGCCGCGGUAAUACGUAUGGAGCGAGCGUUGUCCGGAAUUAUUGGGCGUAAAGGGUACGCAGGCGGUUUAAUAAGUCGAAUGUUAAAGAUCGGGGCUCAACCCCGCAAAGCAUUGGAAACUGAUAAACUUGAGUAGUGGAGAGGAAAGUGGAAUUCCUAGUGUAGUGGUGAAAUACGUAGAUAUUAGGAGGAAUACCAGUAGCGAAGGCGACUUUCUGGACACAAACUGACGCUGAGGUACGAAAGCGUGGGGAGCAAACAGG